Oryctolagus cuniculus (rabbit) is the source of this 123-nucleotide small nuclear RNA. Its record names the gene U2. It matches the Rfam family "U2 spliceosomal RNA". Rfam says of the family: U2 is a small nuclear RNA (snRNA) component of the spliceosome (involved in pre-mRNA splicing). NCBI's taxonomy places the organism in Eukaryota, Metazoa, Chordata, Mammalia, Lagomorpha, Leporidae. The record is from Ensembl.
AUCGCUUCUCGGCCUUUUGGCUAAGAUCAAGUGUAGUAUCUGUUCUUAUCAGUUUAAUAUAAUGCACUAAGCAGUCAGCUAGGGUUCACCCCUGUGCAUUUCACCAAGAACACAGGAACACCA